RNAcentral lists this microRNA precursor (62 nucleotides) under Nautilus pompilius. RNAcentral's name for it is "Npo-Mir-8_pre stem-loop". It matches the Rfam family "mir-8/mir-141/mir-200 microRNA precursor family", at positions 6 to 67 of the family's 72-position model. Rfam says of the family: The bounds of the precursors are predicted based on conservation and base pairing and are not generally known. Lineage: Eukaryota; Metazoa; Mollusca; Cephalopoda; Nautilida; Nautilidae. The record is from RNAcentral.
CAUCUUACCUAACAGCAUUAGAUUUGUAUUUGCAAUUUCUAAUACUGUCAGGUAAAGAUGUC